GAUGAACGCUGGCGGCGUGCCUAAUACAUGCAAGUCGAGCGAACAGACGAGGAGCUUGCUCCUCUGACGUUAGCGGCGGACGGGUGAGUAACACGUGGAUAACCUACCUAUAAGACUGGGAUAACUUCGGGAAACCGGAGCUAAUACCGGAUAAUAUAUUGAACCGCAUGGUUCAAUAAUGAAAGACGGUUUUGCUGUCACUUAUAGAUGGAUCCGCGCCGCAUUAGCUAGUUGGUAAGGUAACGGCUUACCAAGGCAACGAUGCGUAGCCGACCUGAGAGGGUGAUCGGCCACACUGGAACUGAGACACGGUCCAGACUCCUACGGGAGGCAGCAGUAGGGAAUCUUCCGCAAUGGGCGAAAGCUUGACGGAGCAACGCCGCGUGAGUGAUGAAGGUCUUCGGAUCGUAAAACUCUGUUAUUAGGGAAGAACAAAUGUGUAAGUAACUAUGCACGUCUUGACGGUACCUAAUCAGAAAGCCACGGCUAACUACGUG
Molecule: ribosomal RNA, 497 nt
Filed under: uncultured bacterium
Lineage: Bacteria
Description: partial 16S ribosomal RNA
Rfam family: Bacterial small subunit ribosomal RNA
Source: RNAcentral